Molecule: transfer RNA, 87 nt
Filed under: Gammaproteobacteria bacterium
Lineage: Bacteria; Pseudomonadati; Pseudomonadota; Gammaproteobacteria
Description: tRNA-OTHER
Rfam family: transfer-messenger RNA
About the family: Bacterial tmRNA, also known as 10Sa RNA or SsrA, is named for its dual tRNA and mRNA-like properties. Its role is to liberate the mRNA from a stalled ribosome.
Source: RNAcentral
UGAGGCGAGAUCAAUAGGCUGGAUACGCACGUAGAUUCUGUAGCGUAGGGCUUGCGGACGCGGGUUCGAUUCCCGCCGCCUCCACCA